RNAcentral lists this long non-coding RNA (245 nucleotides) under Panax ginseng (ginseng). RNAcentral describes it as "long non-coding RNA (PGIN_LNC013728)". The record is from RNAcentral. Lineage: Eukaryota; Viridiplantae; Streptophyta; Magnoliopsida; Apiales; Araliaceae.
GGUCAAACUAACUUAUUAGGAAUGACUUAUAAGUAAUUUUUAAAUAACUUUAUUCUGUUUUAGUUCAUAAAAAAUAAUAAAUUUUUCUUCAUCUUUUAUGUUUUCUCUUAGAAUUGAUAGUAUUAUAAUUUAAUUUUAUAAUAUAUUUGGAAAAAAGGUAAAAGGAGAACUAGGAAUAGCUAGGGGUAUACCAUUACUAUUCUUCUUUUUAUGUUUUAUUUUUGGUUGAAAAAAAUAUGUUCAUG